UAAUACGUAGGUGGCUAGCGUUAUCCGGAUUUACUGGGCGUAAAGAGGGCGCAGGCGGUCUUACAAGUCAGAUGUAAAAUCUCUCGGCUUAACUGGGAGGGAUCAUUUGAUACUGUUAGACUAGAGGGCAGCAGAGGGAGGUGGAAUUCCCGGUGUAGUGGUGAAAUGCGUAGAUAUCGGGAGGAACACCAGUGGCGAAGGCGGCCUCCUAGACUGUUACUGACGCUGUGGCCCGAAAGCGUGGGGAGCGAACAGGAUUAGAUACCCUGGUAGUCCACGCCGUAAACUAUGGACACUAGGUAUGGGGAGUAUCGACCCUCUCCGUGCCGAAGCUAACGCGUUAAGUGUCCCGCCUGGGGACUACGGCCGCAAGGCUA
Molecule: ribosomal RNA, 377 nt
Filed under: uncultured bacterium
Lineage: Bacteria
Description: bacterial SSU rRNA
Rfam family: Bacterial small subunit ribosomal RNA
Source: RNAcentral